The submitters of this non-coding RNA (184 nucleotides) gave its source as unclassified sequences. The record is from Rfam.
GUCCUAAGUAUGACGUUAAACUACUGACUGCUACAUACGGCAUCGGGUCGCUCCCGAUGGCUCAGACGGAUGCGACAGUAAAAAUAAAAUAUAAGGCUGCCUUAUGAGCGGGUGGCUGCAAUCCGGAACGGAGAAGUCCGUCUGGAAUGCGGUCUGGUUCGUUAUGCCCAUUUGCAGCCUGCAC